UACGAAGGGGGCUAGCGUUGCUCGGAAUCACUGGGCGUAAAGCGCACGUAGGCGGAUCGUUAAGUCUGGGGUGAAAUCCUGGAGCUCAACUCCAGAACUGCCUUCGAUACUGGCGAUCUUGAGUCCGGAAGAGGUGAGUGGAACUCCUAGUGUAGAGGUGGAAUUCGUAGAUAUUAGGAAGAACACCAGGGGCGAAGGCGGCAUCCUGGACCGGCAUUGGCGCUGAGUGAGCGAAAGCCAGGGGAGCAAACGGG
Molecule: ribosomal RNA, 254 nt
Filed under: uncultured bacterium
Lineage: Bacteria
Description: partial 16S ribosomal RNA
Rfam family: Bacterial small subunit ribosomal RNA
Source: RNAcentral